RNAcentral lists this ribosomal RNA (842 nucleotides) under uncultured bacterium. RNAcentral's name for it is "bacterial SSU rRNA". It matches the Rfam family "Bacterial small subunit ribosomal RNA", at positions 432 to 1288 of the family's 1533-position model. The record is from RNAcentral.
UCUUUUACCCGGGAUGAUAAUGACAGUACCCGGGAGAAUAAGCCCCGGCUAACUACGUGCCAGCAGCCGCGGUAAUACGUAGGGGGCAAGCGUUGUCCGGAUUUACUGGGCGUAAAGAGCGCGUAGGCGGAAGCUUAAGUGUGGCCUGAAAGCCCCCGGCUCAACCGGGGAGGGUGGCUGCAAACUGGGCUUCUAGAGGGGGAUAGAGGAAAGUGGAAUUCCGGGUGUAGCGGUGAAAUGCGUAGAGAUCCAGAGGAACACCAGUGGCGAAGGCGGCUUUCUGGGUCCGCCCUGACGCUGAGGCGCGAAAGCGUGGGGAGCGAACGGGAUUAGAUACCCCGGUAGUCCACGCCGUAGACGAUGGUCACUAGAUGUGUGCGGUAUCGACCCCGCACGUGUCGCAGCUAACGCACUAAGUGACCCGCCUGGGGAGUACGGCCGCAAGGUUGAAACUCAAAGGAAUUGACGGGGGCCCGCACAAGCGGUGGAGCAUGUGGAUUAAUACGUCACUAACCGUAGAACCUUACCCAGGCUUGACAUCUGUGGAAUCCCCUUGAAAGGGGGGAGUGCCUCGCAAGAGGAGCCACAAGACAGGUGUUGCAUGGCUGUCGUCAGCUCUUGUCGUGAGAUGUUGGGUUAAGUCCCGCAACGAGCGCAACCCUCACCGUAUGUUGCCAGCGUCAAGUCGGGCACUCUUGCGGAACUGCCCGGGUAACCGGGAGGAAGGUGGGGACGACGUCAAGUCAGCAUGGCCCUUACGCCUGGGGCUUCACACAUGCUACAAUGGCCGGUACAGAGGGCUCCGAUACCGCGAGGUGGAGGCAAUCCCAAAAAGCCGGUCU